Molecule: ribosomal RNA, 442 nt
Filed under: uncultured bacterium
Lineage: Bacteria
Description: partial 16S ribosomal RNA
Rfam family: Bacterial small subunit ribosomal RNA
Source: RNAcentral
CCUACGGGAGGCAGCAGUAGGGAAUCUUUCACAAUGGGCGAAAGCCUGAUGGAGCAACGCCGCGUGCAGGAUGAAGGCCUUCGGGUUGUAAACUGCUUUUAUAAGCGAGAAAUAUGAUGGUAACUUAUGAAUAAGGAUCGGCUAACUACGUGCCAGCAGCCGCGGUCAUACGUAGGAUCCGAGCAUUAUCCGGAGUGACUGGGUGUAAAGAGUUGCGUAGGUGGCAUAAUAAGUAGCUAGUGAAAUCUGGUGGCUCAACCAUUCAGACUAUUAGCUAAACUGUUAAGCUCGAGACCGUUAGGGGUAAAUGGAAUUUCUAGUGUAGGAGUGAAAUCCGUAGAUAUUAGAAGGAACACCAAUAGCGUAGGCAGGUUGCUGGGACGGUUCUGACACUAAGGCACGAAAGCGUAGGGAGCAAACGGGAUUAGAUACCCGAGUAGUC